UGAAGUUAAAGGCAGUGGNUCAACCAUUGUAGGCUUUGGAAACUGUUUAACUUGAGUGCAGAAGGGGAGAGUGGAAUUCCAUGUGUAGCGGUGAAAUGCGUAGAUAUAUGGAGGAACACCGGUGGCGAAAGCGGCUCUCUGGUCUGUAACUGACGCUGAGGCUCGAAAGCGUGGGGAGCGAACAGGAUUAGAUACCNUGGUAGUCCACGCCGUAAACGAUGAGUGCUAGGUGUUAGGUCCUUUCCGGGACUUAGUGCCGCAGCUAACGCAUUAAGCACUCCGCCUGGGGAGUACGACCGCAAGGUUGAAACUCAAAGGAAUUGACGGGGGCCCGCACAAGCGGUGGAGCAUGUGGUUUAAUUCGAAGCAACGCGAAGAACCUUACCAGGUCUUGACAUCCCGAUGCCCGCUCUAGAGAUAGAGCUUUACUUCGGUACAUCGGUGACAGGUGGUGCAUGGUUGUCGUCAGCUCGUGUCGUGAGAUGUUGGNUUNNNNNNCGCAACGAGCGCAACCCUUAUUGUUAGUUGCCAUCAUUCAGUUGGGCACUCUAGCGAGACUGCCGGUAAUAAACCGGAGGAAGGUGGGGAUGACGUCAAAUCAUCAUGCCCCUUAUGACCUGGGCUACACACGUGCUACAAUGGCUGGUACAACGAGUCGCAAGCCGGUGACGGCAAGCUAAUCUCUGAAAGCCAGUCUCAGUUCGGAUUGUAGGCUGCAACUCGCCUACAUGAAGUCGGAAUCGCUAGUAAUCGCGGAUCAGCACGCCGCGGUGAAUACGUUCCCGGGCCU
This 790-nucleotide ribosomal RNA is filed under the name uncultured bacterium. RNAcentral describes it as "bacterial SSU rRNA". It matches the Rfam family "Bacterial small subunit ribosomal RNA", at positions 590 to 1381 of the family's 1533-position model. The record is from RNAcentral.